Molecule: long non-coding RNA, 894 nt
Organism: Eucalyptus grandis
Lineage: Eukaryota; Viridiplantae; Streptophyta; Magnoliopsida; Myrtales; Myrtaceae
Exons: 2
Source: RefSeq, a predicted model, not a curated record
AUCGCAAAGUCAAAAAGAUCACGACCCUUUAAGCUGAGAUCUGUAGGACGGCUAGGAUCCGUUGGAAUUUAAUCCAACGGUGGAAAUCGCGAGUGCACCGCGCGCGUAUAUGGUCUGGUUUUGGCCGAGCCCCAGAGGACAAGGUAUCGAAAGCGCAACCUCUUCAGAGUUCAUCGUUUGGGCCAAGAAAGUUCCGGGCCUUACAACGUAAAAUUCGAUCGCAUUGUUCCGCCCCGAAUUCCAGACAUUUUUUUCUCGAUCUGUAUGAGACGUUGGGCGCAAUUACCCAACUGAGAAGAAAGCCGAACUAGUGGAAUUUGUUGGCGUGCGAGAUUAGCUGAGCAGCCCCGGAGGUGGUGGGAGUUGAAGAGGAGAAUGAAUCAGAGAUUCGGUGGCGCGAGGCAGCCCACCGGCACUCCGUCGCUGGCCUGGUCGUGCGUCGUGGUCGUCGCCUCCCUCCUUGCUGGCGCCUCCGUUGUCCACAACAUCUACAAGCCCGAUCUGACGUUGCCUCCACUGGAGAGCAUCGAGGAGGCCAAGAAGAAGCAACCCGAGAAGGAAUGAAGGAAAAGCUCCUGUCUUGAAACGUAGAGAUGGUUUAGCUAAUGCCUUUUCCUCCUAGACAAGGAGCCAAAUAACGAUUUUGUCAAUUGGCCAUUCUCCGUGAUCUUGCUUUGUUGUACCCAUUUUAAGUGUCAACUGUGUUCUUUUACUUCCCAUUGCUCACUUGGAUAAUAUUUCAUCUUUCUGCUGAUUCUGCAAAAUGGACUUGAGGGAGCCUGGUUUCUGCUAAUUCGUCCAAGGUUUUUUCCGGCAGGACUUGCGAACUCAAACUCAAAUGCCAUGCGAGGUUAGUAAUCUUAUGUUUAUCUCAGUAAACUUGUUCGUGGUCAA